CCUACGGGCGGCUGCAGUGGGGAAUAUUGGACAAUGGGGGGAACCCUGAUCCAGCCAUGCCGCGUGUGUGAAGAAGGCCCUCGGGUUGUAAAGCACUUUCAGUGAGGAAGAACGCCUGGUGGUUAAUACCCAUCAGGAAAGACAUCACUCACAGAAGAAGCACCGGCUAACUCCGUGCCAGCAGCCGCGGUAAUACGGAGGGUGCGAGCGUUAAUCGGAAUUACUGGGCGUAAAGCGCGCGUAGGUGGCUUGAUAAGCCGGUUGUGAAAGCCCCGGGCUCAACCUGGGAACGGCAUCCGGAACUGUCAAGCUAGAGUGCAGGAGAGGAAGGUAGAAUUCCCGGUGUAGCGGUGAAAUGCGUAGAGAUCGGGAGGAAUACCAGUGGCGAGGGCGGCCUUCUGGACUGACACUGACACUGAGGUGCGAAAGCGUGGGUAGCAAACAGGAUUAGAUACCCCGGUAGUC
This 465-nucleotide ribosomal RNA is filed under the name Vreelandella stevensii. Its description in RNAcentral is "partial 16S ribosomal RNA". It matches the Rfam family "Bacterial small subunit ribosomal RNA", at positions 338 to 795 of the family's 1533-position model. Lineage: Bacteria; Pseudomonadati; Pseudomonadota; Gammaproteobacteria; Oceanospirillales; Halomonadaceae. The record is from RNAcentral.